UAGGGAGGGGGAUAAUUUAUAGCUGUCAUUCAGUCGUGCGUAUGAAUAAAGUCGCAUGUCUGUUAGUCAGUUUAGGGGAGCUGACCUAUGAUGAGCCUUGCUAAUUGACAUAGUAUUGACUACGCUCUCUCGCUGAUGUUGUGAAUGACCGUAUUGACCGGCUUUGCAGUGAGCUGAUACGGUUGGCGUAGCAUCAUCGAACGAUCUGAGCGAGUCAGUGUAUAUGGAAUGGAUAAGCUGCCCAACAGCCGACCUGCUUUUCCCCGCGGUCGUCAAGAUGCAUUAAGGGGGGCGGCAAGACAGGUUUGCAACUGAUAACGUGCAGUAAUCACAGUGCUUAUAAUGCUAGUUAGCUUCAGUCAUUAGGCACCACAGGCUUUACACUAAUGUUUAGGCCUAAUAUGUAGCGUUCAAUUUUAAGCGUAUAACAAUUUGAUUCAGGGAACAACUAUGCACGGGAUUAGGCCAAGCAUGCUAAAGAACUCGAAUCCACCAGCAACUCCCGCCAAUGUGAUGCAACUUGGCUUGCAGAGAUCGUUUAGUGCUUGUAAGAGAACCGUAACACAGGUGGCACAUGGCUGUUGUCACAUCGUGUGGAGAGAUGUUGGUAUAUGUCGCGCAGAGAGCACCACCUAUCCCUUUUAUCCCCAUCAUUUUGUUGGGCACUUUAAUGGGACUGCCGGUGACAAACCGGAGGAAGGUGGGGAUGACGUCAAGUCCUCAUGGCCCUUAUGGGCAGGGCUUCACACGUAAUACAAUGGAUGGUACAGAGGGAAGCCAACCCGCGAGGGGGAGCCAAUCCCAAAAAGCCAUUCGUAGUCCGGAUUGUUGUCUGCAACUCGACUACAUGAAGUCGGAAUCGGUAGUAAUCGUGGAUCAGCAUGUCGCGGUGAAUACGUUCCCGGGCCUUGUACACACCGCCCGUCACACCAUGGGAGUGGGUUUCACCAGAAGUAGUUAGUUUGACCGCGAGGGGGACGAUUACCACGGUAGGAUUCAUGAGUGGGGUGAAGUCAAACAAGAUAACCGUAAAGC
This 1035-nucleotide ribosomal RNA is filed under the name uncultured marine bacterium. RNAcentral's name for it is "bacterial SSU rRNA". The stretch from base 401 to 1035 matches the Rfam family "Bacterial small subunit ribosomal RNA", at positions 874 to 1508 of the family's 1533-position model. The record is from RNAcentral.